CCUACGGGAGGUAGCAGUCGAGAAUCUUUCACAAUGGGCGAAAGCCUGAUGGUGCAACGCCGCGUGCAGGAUUAAGGCCUUCGGGUUGGAAACUGCUUUUAUUAUCGAGACAUAUUAUGGUAACUUAUGCAUAAGAAUCGGAUCACUACGUGCCAGCAGCCGCGGUCAUACGUAGGCUCCGAUCAUUAUCCGGAGUUACAGGGUGUAAAGAGUUGCGUAGGUGGCAUAAUAAGUAGCUAGGGAAAUCUGGUGGCUCAACCAUUCAGACUAUUAGCUCAACUGUUAAGCUCGAGACCGUUAGGGGUAACUGGAAUUUCUAGUGUAGGAGUGAAAUCCGUAGAUAUUAGAAGGAACACCAAUAGCGUAGGCAGGUUACUGGGACGGUUCUGACACUAAGGCACGAAGGCGUAGGGAGCGAAAGGGAUUAGAUACCCCAGUAGUC
This 442-nucleotide ribosomal RNA is filed under the name uncultured bacterium. Its description in RNAcentral is "partial 16S ribosomal RNA". It matches the Rfam family "Bacterial small subunit ribosomal RNA", at positions 338 to 795 of the family's 1533-position model. The record is from RNAcentral.